ACUAAACAUUAGACGUCUUAUGGACGUGCAGAUCAUGUCUAUAUUGCGUCGGUCGGUCCAAGACCAAUUCUGUACGUCUACACGACGUGCAAACUAGGUCCGCUAUUUGGACGUCUAACUAUGACCCCACUUGGACGUCAAUAUGCAGUUAAACAUUUGAACGUCGGACUAGGUCACUUUUUUGGACGUCAUGGGGACGUCUAAUACAGGUGCAGGAAAUUAACAUUAUUUAAGAAUAUAUUUAUUUUUAAAUGUAUGUCAAAAUUGUUGUUAUCAAUAUUGUUAAUCACUAUGAAUAUAGAUUAUUUAUGAUUAAGCAUCAUUUAUUUCUAAUUAUUUAUUUGAGUAUUAUAUUUUUUAUCUAUUUAAUUAAUUAACGAAUGUAGGUAUUUAUUUACGUAUGUUUUUAUUUUUAUUUGGAAAUGCAAUUUAUGUGGAAAAUUGUUAAGUUGAUUUCAACCAGUCAACACCACUCUGAUUUGCUGAGACCGCACGUCAUCAUAAACUCCACUCUGAUAUGCCGAGGCAAAACACGCUAAACAUUUUUUGGCUGCUGCAGUAGCUCAGCUCAGCUCAGCUCAUUCAGUUCAGCUCGCUCAGCUCAGCUCCGCUCCGGACCGGACUCAGCUGCCACUAAGCUAUAAGAUGGAGUCAUGAAAUGUGACGGGACAGCCACCGAGGACUUCAUACUUCGGAGCAUCUCAAACAUGCACCACAAAGACGUGGAGGACACACCGCUGUCUCUCAGGACCUAGAAUCUUAAUGAAAGUAUAAUGAUGUUAAGGGAAGGUGUAGUGGAAAGGUGUGAUAGUGUUGAGGGAAGGUGUAAUAGUGUUGAGGGAAGGUGUAAUAGUGUUGAGGGAAGGUGUAAUAGUUUUGAGGGAAGGUGUAAUAGUGUUGAGGGAAGGUGUAAUGUUAAAGGUGUAAUAGUGUUAAGGGAAGGUAUAAUAUUGUUAAGGGAAGGUGUAAUAGUGUUGAGGGAAGGUAUAAUAUUGUUAAGGGAAGGUGUAAUGUAAAGCUGUAAUAGUUUUAAGGGAAGGUAAAUGUUUAGUGAAAUUGUUAUGGUGUGAAUCUAAGGUGUAUGUUAUGUUGAUGUAAAAUAAAGGCAUUAACCCCAAAUGAGAUUUACUCAUUAUUUUUAUUAUUAUAUUAAUGUUUCCCCAAACAGAAAGGGUCAAUUUAAAAUCAACAGUGGUAAGAUGGGGGUAAUUAAUUUAUCCUUUGCUUUUACUGGUUCUUUGCAGGUUGACAUGUUUUGGAAAAAGUGAGAGGGUUGAAAUGCAAUUUAUUUGUAAAGCAUAUUGUGUAUAACUAACGUGCAUAACUAGUUCCAGAAGGUUGUGAACCUGUUCCAGUAAUUGUUUGGCUUAGCUUUGUAUGCGUUUCCAGUGAUCUGCUGAAGCUGGAACAAUGGAACAGUUGCCACCGUCUGAAAUGGCACUACAGUUAUGCAGGGAGCCUCAAAGUAGCUGGUCUAUAAAAACGAAUACAUGUAAAUUUCACGUAGAAAAGACGUCCACAACGACUUAAUUUAAACUAGAAUUAGCCCUUAUCCGGAGGUCUGGGGGACGUCAAUACUGGACGUGCAGAAGACGUCAGAAAAAAGACGUCGUCUGGCGUCACAGUCUGCACCUUCAGGAGACCAAAAUUGGACGUGCAAAAAUGACCUAGAAAAGACGUCGUUUCAACGUCUCUUUGUUUAGUGGGUU
Molecule: long non-coding RNA, 1709 nt
Organism: Astyanax mexicanus (Mexican tetra)
Lineage: Eukaryota; Metazoa; Chordata; Actinopteri; Characiformes; Acestrorhamphidae
Exons: 3
Source: RefSeq, a predicted model, not a curated record